This is a non-coding RNA of Phrynosoma platyrhinos (Desert horned lizard), 72 nucleotides long. The record is from the annotation of a GenBank genome assembly. Lineage: Eukaryota; Metazoa; Chordata; Lepidosauria; Squamata; Phrynosomatidae.
GCCAGAGUGGCAUAGUGGUUUGAGUGUUGGACUAUGACUCUGGAGGCAUGGGUUCGAUUCCCCACUCUGCCA